UUCUUCGGGGCAGGGUGUAAUUCCCGACCGACGGUAACAAUUCUUUGAAAUUGAAGUCCGUGACCCGCGAAAGCGGUGGAUCUAGUGAGAGUCUAGAACCGACUGUAAAGUCAGGAUGGUAGAAGAA
RNAcentral lists this non-coding RNA (127 nucleotides) under uncultured Companilactobacillus sp. RNAcentral's name for it is "FMN riboswitch (RFN element)". It matches the Rfam family "FMN riboswitch aptamer (RFN element)". From Rfam's summary of the family: The RFN element is a highly conserved domain that is found frequently in the 5'-untranslated regions of prokaryotic mRNAs that encode for flavin mononucleotide (FMN) biosynthesis and transport proteins. This element is a metabolite-dependent riboswitch that directly binds FMN in the absence of proteins. In Bacillus subtilis, the riboswitch most likely controls gene expression by causing premature transcription termination within the 5' untranslated region of the ribDEAHT operon and precluding access to the ribosome-binding site of ypaA mRNA. The record is from RNAcentral. Lineage: Bacteria; Bacillati; Bacillota; Bacilli; Lactobacillales; Lactobacillaceae.